This 440-nucleotide long non-coding RNA is filed under the name Rattus norvegicus (Norway rat). RNAcentral describes it as "long non-coding RNA NONRATT006604". Lineage: Eukaryota; Metazoa; Chordata; Mammalia; Rodentia; Muridae. The record is from RNAcentral.
UUUGGUCAUGUUUGGUUUGAACUACCAUUCUCUUUUAAAAUAUGUGAUCUUUGCAAUUUUAGAUGAGGGGAUGGAAGAAUGUGUUUUUCAGUAGAUUAAAAAUGAAAGGUAAUUGAUUUAAGAAUUGUUGUGACUCUCAUUGAUAUAUUAUUUAUGAAAUUGUAUGUUUGCCUCACAAGGUUGGUUUGGAAAAAGUCAUUUUUUUUUUCUUUUUUUUUCGGAGCUGGGGACCGAACCCAGGGCCUUGCGCUUGCUAGGGAAGCACUCUACCGCUGAGCUAAAUCCCCAACCCCUGGAAAAAGCCAUUUUUUUAAUUGAGGCACACAAGUGCACACCUGUAGUUCCAGCACAGAGAGGUAGGGCAGGAGGAACUUAGGCUCAGAGUCACUGGGGUACAUUUAUCAACACCCCCCCCCAUCCCCAGUAAAACAAAACAGGCU